This 84-nucleotide transfer RNA is filed under the name Rhipicephalus microplus (southern cattle tick). RNAcentral describes it as "tRNA-Leu". It matches the Rfam family "tRNA". Rfam says of the family: Transfer RNA (tRNA) molecules are approximately 80 nucleotides in length. Their secondary structure includes four short double-helical elements and three loops (D, anti-codon, and T loops). Further hydrogen bonds mediate the characteristic L-shaped molecular structure. tRNAs have two regions of fundamental functional importance: the anti-codon, which is responsible for specific mRNA codon recognition, and the 3' end, to which the tRNAs corresponding amino acid is attached (by aminoacyl-tRNA synthetases). tRNAs cope with the degeneracy of the genetic code in two manners: having more than one tRNA (with a specific anti-codon) for a particular amino acid; and 'wobble' base-pairing, i.e. permitting non-standard base-pairing at the 3rd anti-codon position. The record is from Rfam by way of RNAcentral. Lineage: Eukaryota; Metazoa; Arthropoda; Arachnida; Ixodida; Ixodidae.
GUCAGGAUGGCCGAGCGGUUCAAGGCGCUGCGUUCAGGUCGCAGUCCGGUCUUCCGGGCGUAAGUUCGAAUCCCACUUCUGACA